This 199-nucleotide long non-coding RNA is filed under the name Trifolium pratense (red clover). Its description in RNAcentral is "long non-coding RNA (TPRA_LNC006205)". Lineage: Eukaryota; Viridiplantae; Streptophyta; Magnoliopsida; Fabales; Fabaceae. The record is from RNAcentral.
GAGAAUAUGAGUUAAAAUCCGACAUGAAUUCAUUGAGCACUUGAUUGUUUCCGGUCGAGAGAUUGAAACAUAGAGUGUAACAUACGAUCAACGCACUUUUAAUUACCCCGUUACCGGUAGCUUCCAUCCAAGAUAUUGGAGAAGUAUCAGUAAAGGAUAGUGUGAAUUUAUCAAGAGAUUGAGAUUCACCAUAUUGUUG